GCGGUAACAGGUGUAGCAAUACAUGCUGACGAGCGGCGGACGGGUGAGUAACGCUUGGGAAUCUGCCUAUUAGUGGGGGACAACCCGGGGAAACUCGGGCUAAUACCGCAUACGCACUACGGUGGAAAGCGGGGGAUCGCAAGACCUCGCGCUAAUAGAUGAGCCCAAGCCGGAUUAGCUAGUUGGUAGGGUAACGGCCUACCAAGGCUACGAUCCGUAACUGGUCUGAGAGGACGACCAGUCACACCGGAACUGAGACACGGUCCGGACUCCUACGGGAGGCAGCAGUGGGGAAUAUUGGACAAUGGGGGAAACCCUGAUCCAGCGACGCCGCGUGGGUGAAGAAGGCCUGCGGGUUGUAAAGCCCUUUCGGUGGGGAAGAAAAGCCUCGUUCUAAUAAAACGGGGUCUUGACGUAACCCAUAGAAGAAGCACCGGCUAACUCUGUGCCAGCAGCCGCGGUAAUACAGAGGGUGCGAGCGUUAAUCGGAAUUACUGGGCGUAAAGCGCGCGUAGGCGGCUUUGCAAGUCGGGUGUGAAAUCCCCAGGCUUAACCUGGGAACUGCAUUCGAGACUGCAUUGCUAGAGUAUGGGAGAGGGAAGUGGAAUUUCAGGUGUAGCGGUGAAAUGCGUAGAUAUCUGAAGGAACAUCAGUGGCGAAAGCGACUUCCUGGACCAAUACUGACGCUCAUGUGCGAAAGCGUGGGGAGCAAACAGGAUUA
This 721-nucleotide ribosomal RNA is filed under the name uncultured Pseudomonadota bacterium. Its description in RNAcentral is "bacterial SSU rRNA". It matches the Rfam family "Bacterial small subunit ribosomal RNA", at positions 66 to 780 of the family's 1533-position model. Lineage: Bacteria; Pseudomonadati; Pseudomonadota. The record is from RNAcentral.